Molecule: ribosomal RNA, 489 nt
Filed under: uncultured bacterium
Lineage: Bacteria
Description: partial 16S ribosomal RNA
Rfam family: Bacterial small subunit ribosomal RNA
Source: RNAcentral
AUUGAACGCUGGCGGCAGGCCUAACACAUGCAAGUCGAACGGUAACAGGAAGCAGCUUGCUGCUUCGCUGACGAGUGGCGGACGGGUGAGUAAUGUCUGGGAAGCUGCCUGAUGGAGGGGGAUAACUACUGGAAACGGUAGCUAAUACCGCAUAAUGUCGCAAGACCAAAGAGGGGGACCUUCGGGCCUCUUGCCAUCGGAUGUGCCCAGAUGGGAUUAGCUUGUUGGUGGGGUAACGGCUCACCAAGGCGACGAUCCCUAGCUGGUCUGAGAGGAUGACCAGCCACACUGGAACUGAGACACGGUCCAGACGCCUACGGGAGGCAGCAGUGGGGAAUAUUGCACAAUGGGCGCAAGCCUGAUGCAGCCAUGCCGCGUGUAUGAAGAAGGCCUUCGGGUUGUAAAGUACUUUCAGCGGGGAGGAAGGGAGUAAAGUUAAUACCUUUGCUCAUUGACGUUACCCGCAGAAGAAGCACCGGCUAACUCCGU